AUGGCAGAUUAUCUGAGCUCUGUAACUGACCCGAGACUGAGGAAAACCUGGACUAUGUACAGACUCAGCGACCACAGCCGGGCCUUAGAGAGCGGCAGACACAGACAGACCCGGCAGUCCAGAGAGGACCGGCUGUGUCGGUUCUGUCCACACAGACAGACCCGGCUGUCCAGAGAGGACCGGCUGUGUCGGUUCUGUCCACACGGACAGACCCGGCUGUCCAGAGAGGACCGGCUGUGUCGGUUCUGUCCACACAGGCAGACCCGGCUGUCCAGAGAGGACCGGCUGUGUCGGUUCUGUCCACACGGACAGACCCGGCAGUCCAGAGAGGACCGGCUGUGUCGGUUCUGUCCACACGGACAGACCCGGCAGUCCAGAGAGGACCGGCUGUGUCGGUUCUGUCCACACGGACAGACCCGGCUGUCCAGAGAGGACCGGCUGUGUCGGUUCUGUCCACACGGACAGACCCGGCUGUCCAGAGAGGACCGGCUGUGUCGGUUCUGUCCACACAGACAGACCCGGCUGUCCAGAGAGGACCGGCUGUGUCGGUUCUGUCCACACGGACAGACCCGGCAGUCCAGAGAGGACCGGCUGUGUCGGUUCUGUCCACACGGACAGACCCGGCUGUCCAGAGAGGACCGGCUGUGUCGGUUCUGUCCACACGGACAGACCCGGCAGUCCAGAGAGGACCGGCUGUGUCGGUUCUGUCCACACGGACAGACCCGGCUGUCCAGAGAGGACCGGCUGUGUCGGUUCUGUCCACACGGACAGACCCGGCUGUCCAGAGAGGACCGGCUGUGUCGGUUCUGUCCACACAGACAGACCCGGCAGUCCAGAGAGGACCGGCUGUGUCGGUUCUGUCCACACAGACAGGUGGAGACAGAGCAGCACUUCCUGUUGCACUGUGACACAUUCACAGACAUCAGAACCCAGAUAUACAUUAAAAUCACAGGUACAACCCCAGACUUCCCCAAACUAUCAGACCAAGAAAAACUACAACAUUUACUGGGAGAAAAAACUGGCACUGCUGUAGAUGCAGCGAGAUCUGUGAAUGCUGCCACAGGAGAAGAGACGAGCUGCACAACAACACCUGACAUGAUUUCCUCCACAUGA
This 1113-nucleotide long non-coding RNA is filed under the name Sparus aurata (gilthead seabream). RNAcentral describes it as "lncRNA (ENSSAUG00010008312.1)". The record is from RNAcentral. Lineage: Eukaryota; Metazoa; Chordata; Actinopteri; Spariformes; Sparidae.